CCUACGGGUGGCAGCAGUGGGGAAUAUUGCACAAUGGGGGAAACCCUGAUGCAGCGACGCCGCGUGAGUGAAGAAGGCAUUCGUUAUGUAAAGCUCUAUCAGCAGGGAAGAAAAUGACGUUACCUGUGUACGCAGCCACGGCCAACUACGUGCCAGCAGCCGCGGUAAUACGUAGGGGGCAAGCGUUAUCCGGAUUUACUGGGUGGAACGGGAGCGUAGACGGCAGUGCAAGUCUGGAGUGAAAGGCGGGGGCUCAACCCCCGGACUGCUCUGGAAACUGUACGGCUGGAGUGCAGGAGAGGUAAGUGGAAGUCCAGGUGUAGCGGUGAAAUGCGUAGAGAUCAGGAGGAACACCAGUGGCGAAGGCGGCUUACUGGACGGUAACUGACGUUGAGGCUCGAAAGCGUGGGGAGCAAACAGGAUUAGAUACCCCUGUAGUC
This 440-nucleotide ribosomal RNA is filed under the name uncultured bacterium. RNAcentral describes it as "partial 16S ribosomal RNA". It matches the Rfam family "Bacterial small subunit ribosomal RNA", at positions 338 to 795 of the family's 1533-position model. The record is from RNAcentral.